CAGCUGGCUCCUUCCAGCUCUGUUUGCUUCAGGGAAAAGUGUCUGUCUGACUGAAACUGGUCCUCUGGUAAAUCUGGAACAGUUUGUCCAGAGCUUCAGAAAACUGAAUUCAGAUCAACCUACAUGCUUUUUUUUUCUCAAAAUCAAUUUGCUUUUUAAAAUUGACACUGGGUGUCUAAACCAAGGCCUUGUGCUCCUAGGGCAGACACUCACCCACUGAGCUACCUUCCUUCACUCCUGUCUAACUCCACGUCCUAACUCCACAUCCUAGAGACCCCAGCCCGUCCAAUGGAAAUGAUGUAAGUUGAACCAUUUGGUAAGAGUGUAUAUCCUAUUCUCCUUCUUGCUGAUAGAACCUUUGAGGAGAGAAAUACACAGCAGAAUAUCUGUAAUUAUAUAUAAACUGCCUGUAAAAAUGCAUAAAACAGGCAGAGCAAAGUUGCACGUCAUCCAACUGACCUCAUUUCUGGGGACAGUCAAGGGCCCAGUGAGAGAGUCCCUUAGCACAGUGGCCUUUACUUCCUUCUAGGAGGUAUUGCUCUCCAGUCUUUCUUCUUAUUGUAUUGCCUCACUCCCAAGUCAGUAAAUCACAGAAUCUUUAGAGACAGUGUGCACACCAUGUCCUUCCUGCUCAGUGAACAAAUGCCAGCUAAACUCUGUAACUGCAUUGAGCAAGUCUACCUAAGUUUCUUCUACAAACCCUUAGCUUUAUCCCCAACCUGUUUUGUGUAACAGCUAGUGAUUUUAUAGCCAUCAAGUCUCAGAGGAAAACCACCGAACCAUAGCGGAGCUCAGCAAAGUCAUCUUCCCGUCACUGAGCCUCUCUAGAGUCAGGGUUACAUGAUUCCAACCAGAUGUGCAUUGCAGCACUCAGGCAGACCCUCCCCCGGUGGGGAACUCCAGAGGUGGGGAUUAAACCUAUUAGAAAUCCUGUCUCAGCUUUCCCUUAACAUGGGAGUCCCAGCUGGACAA
Molecule: long non-coding RNA, 972 nt
Filed under: Rattus norvegicus (Norway rat)
Lineage: Eukaryota; Metazoa; Chordata; Mammalia; Rodentia; Muridae
Description: long non-coding RNA NONRATT009359
Source: RNAcentral